AGCCAUAUUUUCCGCCCCUGUUAAGCUACUUUUCAACAGCAUUGUCUUUCUUUUUAAAAAACCAGGAGCGACAAGGGACAGUGUUUGACAAAUACUACUACUUCGAAAGUGAGCGAAAAGUUGACUUUUGCUGAUGUUAACGAAACCCGACCUUCACUGGACGAGUUUUGCCAACGCCACUAUGCAGAACAUAGAGGGACAAGUUACACAAAACCUUAUGACAAAAGACUGACUCUAGAUAAGUGCAUCAUCACAUGCAAAGUGCCUGAAAAACCAGGCCUACUAAUAAUCAACGACGCACCUGAUGGCACGAGAUGUAACGAUACCAGACCGCGCGCGAUCUGCAUCAACGGUAGAUGCACACGUGUUAAAGAUAAUCGUGUCGAGACAUUCGGAAACGAUGUUAAGGAUUCGACGAUUCAGCUGAAUUAGAGGACGUGCAGACAUGGCCACAGAUGUCAUAUCUCGAUAACUAAG
This 477-nucleotide long non-coding RNA is filed under the name Dermacentor andersoni. RNAcentral describes it as "uncharacterized LOC126532419". The record is from RNAcentral. Lineage: Eukaryota; Metazoa; Arthropoda; Arachnida; Ixodida; Ixodidae.